AACUUUACCAAAUAUUUCCUGUAAAGUUUCAUCUAUAACCUAGAGCCAUCAGCAAAUAAACACAUAUAUACUAAAUUGACCACAGGUCAGACCAUUUAAAUACAAUUACGUGAGCAUAAAGAUCAAUUUUCUGUCAUCCAAACUCAACACAGUAAAACCCUCACAAGAACUUUCUUGAUAGAUUUCUUUGAUUCGUUGGCGAUAAAAAAGCUAAUAAAAUUACUAUAAAAUAUAGGCCCAUGUCAAAUGAUUCAUUCAAGAAAGUUUAAGUCCUUACCUUAACAGAUGCCAAUUGCUUGCGAGCUCUGAAGCCAACUGAAGAAGAAGAACCGCUAACAGAGGAAAUAUAUGAAAAAGAAACCAAUCCUUUACGUAGCCUUUGAUUGGGUGGAAAAAUCAGUUGAGAAGAAUUCAAUGACGAAGAAAAUGAAGUCACAAACGAAGAACAAAAAACAUCACCCAUUUCACAAAACACACCCAGAUUAAAAACCUAUAUUUCCUCUUUAAACCCUGUUUAUGUAUGUGUUCUACAAUUGGGUUAUUUUCAAAAAUUACUCUUUCUUUUUUCCCUGUUGUUCAACAGUUCUCUAUAUAUAGACGGCGGUCUGGUGUGCGUAGGUGAAUGUUACAUCAAUGGUAGAAGAAAAGCAAAAAUCAAAGCCAAUAAGGCUUAGAUUUUUCUCCGUCCCUCUCUGAACUCGUGUUCUUUGUGUGUGUACAGGAGACCCAGCUUGGGGGUGGGAACUGUAAUUGUGUGAACCAGAAUAAUGUAGGAAGGUGAGGGGAAAUUGGUUAGGU
This 798-nucleotide long non-coding RNA is filed under the name Olea europaea subsp. europaea. The record is from RNAcentral. Lineage: Eukaryota; Viridiplantae; Streptophyta; Magnoliopsida; Lamiales; Oleaceae.